GUAUUUUGUUUUAUAACUGUUAUUUAUCGAAAAAUAAAAAUACUAUAACAUGGUGUGAGACCCCGGGUAGUCCUAUAUAUAAGAUAUAAUAGGGCUAAACUCUUAACCCGGCUUAAGCAUUUGGGUGAUAGCUAGACCUAAGAGGUUAAGAGAGUUAAGCGUGCUAGGACGGGAGUAGUCCUAGGAUGGGUGACCCCCUGGGAAGUUGGGGAGUCACAGAUGGUAUCAGAGCCAAUUACCAGCCGGAAGUGUGAGAUG
This 258-nucleotide long non-coding RNA is filed under the name Ananas comosus (pineapple). RNAcentral's name for it is "long non-coding RNA (ACOM_LNC044147)". The record is from RNAcentral. Lineage: Eukaryota; Viridiplantae; Streptophyta; Magnoliopsida; Poales; Bromeliaceae.